GUCGAAUACUGGGCUGGUGGAACCCUCGGGGACGAAACGCCCACCAGCAAUGGCAUCGCCCCAGUGGUGUAAAUAGUUAUCAAAGGUACUAGGAUUAUAAUUUUGUACGCCAGACGCGCAAAUACAUUAAAAUUAUUAUUUGGGCAUUUGUGAACAUGUUGUUUGUAAAAUAGUUGGAUGAUUGUAGGAUGAAGUUUUUUAUUGUCAUGUGAAGUACUCACUUAUCAUGAGUUAUAGGAUACCCAUAUUUUGUAUAUUGGAUCCUAUAAACUAAAUGUUCGUCAGACAGGAUUCACCUGACCCUGAAUUUGCCUCAUUUCAUGGAUGAAGAUUCAUUUUAGUGGUCAAGUC
RNAcentral lists this long non-coding RNA (351 nucleotides) under Mytilus galloprovincialis (Mediterranean mussel). The record is from RNAcentral. Lineage: Eukaryota; Metazoa; Mollusca; Bivalvia; Mytilida; Mytilidae.